RNAcentral lists this ribosomal RNA (497 nucleotides) under uncultured bacterium. RNAcentral describes it as "partial 16S ribosomal RNA". It matches the Rfam family "Bacterial small subunit ribosomal RNA", at positions 28 to 507 of the family's 1533-position model. The record is from RNAcentral.
GAUGAACGCUGGCGGCGUGCCUAAUACAUGCAAGUCGAGCGAACAGAUGAGGAGCUUGCUCCUCUGACGUUAGCGGCGGACAGGUGAGUAACACGUGGAUAACCUACCUAUAAGACUGGGAUAACUUCGGGAAACCGGAGCUAAUACCGGAUAAUAUAUUGAACCGCAUGGUUCAAUAGUGAAAGACGGUUUUGCUGUCACUCAUAGAUGGAUCCGCGCCGCAUUAGCUAGUUGGUAAGGUAACGGCUUACCAAGGCAACGAUGCGUAGCCGACCUGAGAGGGUGAUCGGCCACACUGGAACUGAGACACGGUCCAGACUCCUACGGGAGGCAGCAGUAGGGAAUCUUCCGCAAUGGGCGAAAGCCUGACGGAGCAACGCCGCGUGAGUGAUGAAGGUCUUCGGAUCGUAAAACUCUGUUAUUAGGGAAGAACAAAUGUGUAAGUAACUAUGCACGUCUUGACGGUACCUAAUCAGAAAGCCACGGCUAACUACGUG